AAAAGUAAGUAAGGGCACAUGGCGGAUGCCUUGGCUCUCGGAGGCGAUGAAGGACGUGAUAAGCUGCGAUAAGCUGCGGGUAGGUGCAAAUGACCUUUGAUCCGCGGAUUUCCGAAUGGGACAACCCGGUACUUUGAAGAAGUAUCAUCCUGCAUUGCAGGAGGCUAACGCAGGGAACUGAAACAUCUUAGUACCUGCAGGAAAAGAAAAUAAACAAUGAUUCCCCCAGUAGUGGCGAGCGAACGGGGAACAGCCCAAACCAUCCAUGUUACGGCAUGGGUGGGGUUGUAGGACCACGCCGUGGCAAGAAAGUUGGUGAGCAGAAUGUUCUGGAAAGUACAGCCAUAGAGCAUGACAGCUGCGUAUGCGAAGCCAAGCGAAGCCUAGUGGUAUCCUGAGUAGCGCGGAGCACGAGGAAUUCUGCGUGAAUCUGCCGGGACCAUCCGGUAAGGCUAAAUACUCCCGAGAGACCGAUAGUGAACCAGUACUGUGAAGGAAAGGUGAAAAGCACUUCGAACAGAAGAGUGAAAUAGUUCCUGAAACCAUGUGCCUACAAGCGGUCGGAGCACCUUUUGGUGUGACGGCGUGCCUUUUGCAUAAUGAACCUACGAGUUACUUUUUCCGGCGAGGUUAAGGAUUUCAGAUCUGCAGCCGAAGCGAAAGCGAGUCUGAACAGGGCGUAUAGUCGGAAGGAGUAGACGCGAAACCAAGUGAUCUACCCUUGGGCAGGUUGAAGGAUGGGUAACACCAUCUGGAGGACCGAACCAAUAAGCGUUGAAAAGCUUCUGGAUGACCUGAGGGUGGGGGUGAAAGGCUAAUCAAACUUGGAGAUAGCUCGUACUCCCCGAAAUGCAUUUAGGUGCAGCCUUGACUUAUACUGGCAUGAGGUAGAGCGACUGAUAAGAUGCGAGGGCUUCACCGCCUAUCAAGUCUUGACAAACUCCGAAUGCGUGUCAGUUCUAUGUCAGGAGUGAGGGCAUGGGUGCUAAGGUCCAUGUCCUAAAGGAGAACAAUCCGGACCAACAGCUAAGGUCCCGAAAUGAAUACUAAGUUGAACUAACGAAGUCAGAUUGCUAAGACAGCUAGGAUGUUGGCUUGGAAGCAGCCAUUCAUUUAAAGAGUGCGUAACAGCUCACUAGUCGAGGAGUUUGGCGUGGAUAAUAAUCGGGCAUAAGUAUUCUACCGAAGCUUUGGGAUGAGAAAUCAUCGGUAGGGGAGCAUUCCACUCUGCGUCGAAGGUGAGGCGUGAGUCUUGCUGGAGCGUGUGGAAAAGCAAAUGUAGGUAUAAGUAACGAUAAGGCAGGCGAGAAACCUGCCCGCCGAAAGACUAAGGUUUCCUGAUCAACGCUAAUCGGAUCAGGGUAAGUCGGGUCCUAAGGCUCAGCCGAACGGCGAGGCCGAUGGCAGAACCGGUUAAUAUUCCGGUACUACCUGUGGGAGUGACGUGGAGACGGAGUCGUGACAGCGCCGCGGACUGACGGAAUAGUCCGUUGAAGGGUGUAGAUGCUGAUUGUUCCAGGCAAAUCCGGAGCAAGAGUCGAACCUGACAGUAUGGAGCGUUCUUAGAACAAUCCAAUAGUGCGUGUAAUCAUACUUCCAAGAAAAUCCGCUAAACUUAAUCCUGCAGGUACCCGUACCGCAAACGGACACACGUAGUCGGGUUGAAUAUACUAAGGCGCUUGAGUGAUUCACGGUUAAGGAACUAGGCAAACUGACCCUGUAACUUCGGGAUAAAGGGUCCUCGCUUUACGGCGAGGCGCAGAGAAUAGGUCCAGGCAACUGUUUAACAAAAACACAGGGCUGUGCAAAAUUGAAAGAUGAAGUAUACAGCCUGACACCUGCCCGGUGCUGGAAGGUUAAGAGGAGAUGUCAUCGCAAGAGAAGCAUUGAAUUGAAGCCCCAGUAAACGGCGGCCGUAACUAUAACGGUCCUAAGGUAGCGAAAUUCCUUGUCGGGU
RNAcentral lists this ribosomal RNA (1957 nucleotides) under human gut metagenome. Its description in RNAcentral is "bacterial LSU rRNA". It matches the Rfam family "Bacterial large subunit ribosomal RNA", at positions 1 to 1977 of the family's 2925-position model. The record is from RNAcentral.